CAUGCAGUCGAACGAUGAACCACUUCGGUGGGGAUUAGUGGCGAACGGGUGAGUAACACGUGGGCAAUCUGCCCUGCACUCUGGGACAAGCCCUGGAAACGGGGUCUAAUACCGGAUACUGAUCCGCCUGGGCAUCCAGGCGGUUCGAAAGCUCCGGCGGUGCAGGAUGAGCCCGCGGCCUAUCAGCUUGUUGGUGAGGUAGUGGCUCACCAAGGCGACGACGGGUAGCCGGCCUGAGAGGGCGACCGGCCACACUGGGACUGAGACACGGCCCAGACUCCUACGGGAGGCAGCAGUGGGGAAUAUUGCACAAUGGGCGAAAGCCUGAUGCAGCGACGCCGCGUGAGGGAUGACGGCCUUCGGGUUGUAAACCUCUUUCAGCAGGGAAGAAGCGAAAGUGACGGUACCUGCAGAAGAAGCGCCGGCUAACUACGUGCCAGCAGCCGCGGGUAAUUCCA
This 458-nucleotide ribosomal RNA is filed under the name Streptomyces sp. XM-11-6. RNAcentral's name for it is "bacterial SSU rRNA". It matches the Rfam family "Bacterial small subunit ribosomal RNA", at positions 54 to 528 of the family's 1533-position model. The record is from RNAcentral. Lineage: Bacteria; Bacillati; Actinomycetota; Actinomycetes; Kitasatosporales; Streptomycetaceae.